Molecule: transfer RNA, 71 nt
Filed under: Eubacterium callanderi
Lineage: Bacteria; Bacillati; Bacillota; Clostridia; Eubacteriales; Eubacteriaceae
Description: tRNA-Leu
Source: RNAcentral
GCGCGGAUAGGCUAACGGCAGACCGCCCACCAAGUGGGAAGCGGCGGUUCAACCCCGUCCUCCGCGCUCCA